UAAUGCAAUGUAGCUGUGUGUAUGUAGUAAUGUAAUGUAGCUGUGUGUAUGUAGUAAUGUAAUGUAGCUGUGUGUAUGUAGUAAUGUAAUGUAGCUGUGUGUAUGUAGUAAUAUAAUGUAGCUGUGUGUAUGUAGUAAUGUAGCUGUGUGUAUGUAGUAAUAUAAUGUAGCUGUGUGUAUGUAGUAAUGUAGCUGUGUGUAUGUAGUAAUGUAGCUGUGUGUAUGUAGUAAUGUAAUGUAGCUGUGUGUAUGUAGUAAUGUAGCUGUGUGUAUGUAGUAGUGUAGCUGUGUGUAUGUAGUAAUGUAGCUGUGUGUAUGUAGUAAUGUAGCUGUGUGUAUGUAGUAAUGUAGCUGUGUGUAUGUAGUAAUAUAAUGUAGCUGUGUGUAUGUAGUAAUAUAAUGUAGCUGUGUGUAUGUAGUAAUAUAAUGUAGCUGUGUGUAUGUAGUAAUGUAGCUGUGUGUAUGUAGUAAUGUAGCUGUGUGUAUGUAGUAAUGUAGCUGUGUGUAUGUAGUAAUGUAAUGUAGCUGUGUGUAUGUAGUAAUGUAAUGUAGCUGUGUGUAUGUAGUAAUAUAAUGUAGCUGUGUGUAAUGUAGCUGUGUGUAAUGUAGCUGUGUGUAAUGUAGCUGUGUGUAUGUAGUAAUGUAAUGUAGCUGUGUGUAUGUAGUAAUGUAAUGUAGCUGUGUGUAUGUAGUAAUGUAAUGUAGCUGUGUGUAUGUAGUAAUGUAAUGUAGCUGUGUGUAUGUAGUAAUGUAGCGGUGUGUAUGUAGUAAUGUAAUGUAGCUGUGUGUAAUGUAGCUGUGUGUAAUGUAGCUGUGUGUAUGUAGUAAUGUAAUGUAGCUGUGUGUAUGUAGUAAUAUAAUGUAGCUGUGUGUAAUGUAGCUGUGUGUAAUGUAGCUGUGUGUAAUGUAGCUGUGUGUAUGUAGUAAUGUAAUGUAGCUGUGUGUAUGUAGUAAUGUAAUGUAGCUGUGUGUAUGUAGUAAUUUAAGGCCAUACAACAAUUCAUGUUAUUUUGUUCUUCAGUUGUUUUCCAGGCAACACCUUAGUCUAAUAACAAAUAAACAAUGUUAAAAACAAACAUAAAACAAACAUUGGUCUAAUCAAAUCAAAAAGACUAAUGUCUAUAUAUUCACAUAUAUUUUGUUUAUAAUAAAAAACUAGUAGAAAUGUAUAAUAAUGAAAUAUUAAGGGAGAAAAAAAAGGAUACAAAAAGUAUUCCUGUAAAAGGCUAUGUACAAGCUACAUUCUACAUACUGUACUGUGAAUAACAAGCCAUAGAAAUGAUGCAUAUUUCAGUGAUGAAGGCUAUGUUGCUGCCUUAAAGCCUACAGAGGAGUGAAAGUAUCCCCAUGUAGCCACAGUGAGAGAGCUGGAUGAGGCCUAUCAUCAUAGAACACAUGGGAUUUACAGCAUCUUCAGGAGCCCAUGAUUAGUGUUUCAAUAAGGAUCCUCCUUUAGAGAGUUAGAUAUGGGCCCUGGUCUAAAGUUGGCCACCACAUAGGGAAUAGGGCCCUGGUCUAAAGUAGUGCACUAUAUAGGGAAUAGGGUGCCAUUUGGGAUAGAGAGUUUCAAUUGACUGGCAAUACAGUCAAUGUUAGAUUAUGGAAUAUUGAUAUGGAAAUACCAAAUAAAUCCUUAUUAAAUAAUGCAUGACAAUAAUACCACAUUAUAUCCCUUUAAGGAUCAUUUACUGUGACUGUCAGCUGUGGUAAUAUACUGUUUGUACUAAUUUAGAACAAUAUAUUACACAUUUGGUUAUUUGUUUUACAGUCUUUAAAGUAGCUAAUUCAUACGGUCUAUAAUCACAAUAUCUGUCUUAAGAAAGUCUUGAAACGGAAGUAAUGGCACAUUGUGAAAUAACGUUGAGAUGUUUGUUUGGGUGUGAAAAUAUUAGUUCAAAGAUGGACACCAUUCCUUAUUGUGUUUCUUUAACCGUUCAGAGAACGACCAGAGAAAUCAGGUUGAACACUGGAACCAUCAUCAUAUUGACAUAUCUGACAUCUGAAAUUCCCUUCGCAAGUUGUUUUAUUAAGUGCCUUGUUGGCUUUCCU
This is a long non-coding RNA of Oncorhynchus tshawytscha (Chinook salmon), 2049 nucleotides long. NCBI's taxonomy places the organism in Eukaryota, Metazoa, Chordata, Actinopteri, Salmoniformes, Salmonidae. The record is from Ensembl.